AAAAUAUUUGUUUGUUCAUUUUUUUAAUGUUAUGUUUUGAUCAAUGGCAUCAAAAACUAUCGGGUUUUAGUUUUUGGAAUUAGUUUGAUAACAUUUUGUUGACCGAUGAUACCAACAACGGUUGUGUUUGGUAUUUAAAACUUAUUUUGAAAGCAUGUUUAAUAAAAACUUUGAAUAUCUGAUAUGGUUAUAUAGUAUACAGUUUUUUUUAAUAUUUAAAUGUAUCAAAGCGGAUAUCUGCAAAUAUCACAAAAAAUUCUGGAUAUUCGAAAUUCCGGAUAUCCGGAAAUUUUCGAAGCAAAGCAAAUCACAAAAUCAAGUAUUCGUUUAAAACAAAUCGAAUAACAAAUAUCACAAUUUUUCCGGAUAUCCGCUUCGUGCCCAGACCUAAUAUGAAUGACUGGUCCAUGCAUUAUCGAAUUACA
This 425-nucleotide small RNA is filed under the name Arabidopsis thaliana (thale cress). RNAcentral's name for it is "ATSL175940". Lineage: Eukaryota; Viridiplantae; Streptophyta; Magnoliopsida; Brassicales; Brassicaceae. The record is from RNAcentral.